GCCUGGGUGGCUCAAUGGUUGAGUGCCUGGCUUCUGCCCAGGGCAAGAUCCUGGAGUUCUGGGAUCGAGUCCCACGUCAGGCU
This 83-nucleotide transfer RNA is filed under the name Canis lupus familiaris (dog). It matches the Rfam family "tRNA". From Rfam's summary of the family: Transfer RNA (tRNA) molecules are approximately 80 nucleotides in length. Their secondary structure includes four short double-helical elements and three loops (D, anti-codon, and T loops). RNAcentral also lists the same sequence under 1 other name. The record is from Rfam by way of RNAcentral. Lineage: Eukaryota; Metazoa; Chordata; Mammalia; Carnivora; Canidae.